GGAAUGCUACUGAUUCUAUAGAAGUAAAUUUCCAUUACAGUGUGAGGUCGACUUUCUAAUGUGCUGUGGUUUCAUAUUCAACUGAAGUGCUGCUUUAGCCACCUCAUUCCUGUUCUGGGCUGCUGUCUUUGUUGUGCUGGUAGCACUGUGUGGCUCUGUGUAUCAGAAAACAGAAAAACAAGCAGGAGUCCUGUCUCCUGUUUCACCACUGCGGCACAAGUGGCAGGGAAAUGGAAGAUGGGAACUAACGGGGCUGGAGAGAAAGAUGGAUGAAGUUUCUCAUCAGGGAUCCGGCAGCCUAAGUCAACCUCUAAAAAGCAGGGAGGAUGUGGCCAGUUCUGUGCUGUGCUUACCAGAGCCAGCAGUCUGGUUCUUGGAAGCAUGUUCUGCCCUGCGGGGUGGCGCAAUGGAACAGGAAAAGAGACUAACCCCGUUCUUUUUUUUUCCCCCAGUCUAUCUUGGGAAAAUAUCUACCUCUGGUAACUUUACUAACAUGAGACUAACUGACUUUCCUUCCUGUAUGAAAUCAUCAGUGGAGGGCAACUUUCAUUUAUUAUGCUAGUUUGCACUUCUGUGCCUUUUGUUUACUUGAAUGUAUUGUGAAUAAUCAAAGGAAUAAAGGCACUGGAUAAGUGGAGAAUGAGGGCCA
Molecule: long non-coding RNA, 649 nt
Filed under: Apteryx rowi (Okarito brown kiwi)
Lineage: Eukaryota; Metazoa; Chordata; Aves; Apterygiformes; Apterygidae
Description: lncRNA (ENSARWG00000007065.1)
Source: RNAcentral